GAUGAAGAACGUAGCGAAAUGCGAUAAGUAGUGUGAAUUGCAGAAUUCAGUGAAUCAUCGAAUCUUUGAACGCACAUUGCGCCCUGUGGUAUUCCGCAGGGCAUGCCUGUUCGAGCGUCAUUGACACCCUCAAGCUCUGCUUGGUCUUGGGCGUUUGUGCCUGCCGUUGCGCAGGGACUCGCCUCAAACUCAUUGGCAGCCUGCCUUUGCCGGUCUUUGCACAGCACAGUCGUGCCAAAGCCGCGGUGAGCAGGCGCUCCACAAGCCCUUUUCAGCUUGACCUCGGAUCAGGUAGGGAUACCCGCUGAACUUAAGCAUAUCAAUAAGCGGAGGA
RNAcentral lists this unclassified non-coding RNA (334 nucleotides) under soil metagenome. RNAcentral describes it as "partial contains 5.8S ribosomal RNA, internal transcribed spacer 2, and large subunit ribosomal RNA". The stretch from base 1 to 120 matches the Rfam family "5.8S ribosomal RNA", at positions 35 to 154 of the family's 154-position model. The record is from RNAcentral.